GCCAUUUCCUGCCCAAUACCGCGGAUGCAACUGGCAUGGGACCCGGAAGUGUGUGGUAAAGCGCCGGGGCUUCGCCUGGCCGCCCCUCCCGGACGCUUGCCUGCAGUCAGCGAAGCUUUUCCAACCCAGGUCUGGGCCCUGCGAGCUCCAGGUGCCUCUGCCCCGCGGCGCUGGCGAAGUCGAAGCCCGAGAACGCCCACCGCAGCGAUGCGAAGGCCGCUUCUGGGGUGGGGCUGAGGCUGCAGCUGCCUCCCUUUCGCACCAAGGACCCCAACCUUCAGCGACGCAGCCGCCGCUCCCGCCCAGGCUGGGAGGCACUGUAGGGAUCCGACGCUUCAGGUGGCCAAAGAGCGACUUUCUCUGAUUCCAGGGCCCUGGCGGGGCAGGCUCCAGUACCGCACUCGGCGGAGGCCGAAGGUCUGUGGGGCAGGACAGGAGUUCCUCGUGCCGUCGGAAGGGCCGAGGACGAAGGAGGGCGCUAAUUCACUCCCCACUGGGCUGGCGGAACUGCUUCACAAGAUUAAAGGAGAAACAGAAAAUGUAUCUAGCGCUGUGCUUGGGGCAUGGCAGGAACUCAAUGAAUGCUUAUUAAAUACUGUAAAUGAUAAACACA
RNAcentral lists this long non-coding RNA (613 nucleotides) under Homo sapiens (human). Its description in RNAcentral is "TFAP2E antisense RNA 1, transcript variant 3 (TFAP2E-AS1)". Lineage: Eukaryota; Metazoa; Chordata; Mammalia; Primates; Hominidae. The record is from RNAcentral.